Molecule: ribosomal RNA, 264 nt
Filed under: uncultured Eubacteriales bacterium
Lineage: Bacteria; Bacillati; Bacillota; Clostridia; Eubacteriales
Description: uncultured Clostridiales bacterium partial 16S ribosomal RNA
Rfam family: Bacterial small subunit ribosomal RNA
Source: RNAcentral
UUGCUCUUUUCAGAAUUGAGUGGCAAACGGGUGAGUAACACGUAAACAACCUGCCUUCAGGAUGGGGACAACAGACGGAAACGACUGCUAAUACCGCAUGACGCAUGACCGGGGCAUCCCGGGCAUGUCAAAGAUUUUAUCGCUGGAAGAUGGCCUCGCGUCUGAUUAGCUAGAUGGUGGGGUAACGGCCCACCAUGGCGACGAUCAGUAGCCGGACUGAGAGGUUGACCGGCCACAUUGGGACUGAGAUACGGCCCAGACUCC